This 468-nucleotide ribosomal RNA is filed under the name uncultured bacterium. RNAcentral's name for it is "partial 16S ribosomal RNA". It matches the Rfam family "Bacterial small subunit ribosomal RNA", at positions 28 to 507 of the family's 1533-position model. The record is from RNAcentral.
GACGAACGCUGGCGGCGUGCUUAACACAUGCAAGUCGAACGGAAAGGCCCUGCUUUUGUGGGGUGCUAGAGUGGCGAACGGGUGAGUAACACGUGAGUAACCUGCCCUUGACUUUGGGAUAACUUCAGGAAACUGGGGCUAAUACCGGAUAGGAGCUCCUGCUGCACGGUGGGGGUUGGAAAGUUUCGGCGUUUGGGGAUGGACUCGAGGCUUAUCAGCUUGUUGGUGGGGUAGUGGCUUACGAAGGCUUUGAAGGGUAGCCGGCCUGAGAGCGUGAACGGGCACAUGGGGACUGCGAGAGGGACCAGACUCCUACGGUAGGCAGCAGGGGGGAAUAUUGCACAACGGGCGGAAGCCUGAUGCAGCAACGCCGCGUGCGGGAUGACGGCCUUCGGGUUGUAAACCGCUUUCGCCGGUGACGAAGCGUGAGUGACGGUAAUGGGUAAAGAAGCCCCGGCUAACUACGUG